This 248-nucleotide ribosomal RNA is filed under the name uncultured bacterium. RNAcentral's name for it is "partial 16S ribosomal RNA". It matches the Rfam family "Bacterial small subunit ribosomal RNA", at positions 338 to 603 of the family's 1533-position model. The record is from RNAcentral.
CCUACGGGGGGCAGCAGUGGGGAAUAUUGCACAAUGGGGGAAACCCUGAUGCAGCGACGCCGCGUGAGUGAAGAAGUAUUUCGGUAUGUAAAGCUCUAUCAGCAGGGAAGAAAAUGACGGUACCUGACUAAGAAGCCCCGGCUAACUACGUGCCAGCAGCCGCGGUAAUACGUAGGGGGCAAGCGUUAUCCGGAUUUACUGGGUGUAAAGGGAGCGUAGACGGCCAGACAAGUCAGACGUGAAAGCAC